This 496-nucleotide ribosomal RNA is filed under the name uncultured bacterium. RNAcentral describes it as "partial 16S ribosomal RNA". It matches the Rfam family "Bacterial small subunit ribosomal RNA", at positions 30 to 523 of the family's 1533-position model. The record is from RNAcentral.
AUUGAACGCUGGCGGAAUGCUUUACACAUGCAAGUCGAACGGUAGAGGGGGCAACCCCUCGAGAGUGGCGAACGGGUGAGUAAUAUAUCGGAACGUGCCCAGUCGUGGGGGAUAACGUAGCGAAAGUUACGCUAAUACCGCAUACGAUCUAAGGAUGAAAGCGGGGGAUCGCAAGACCUCGCGCGGUUGGAGCGGCCGAUAUCAGAUUAGGUAGUUGGUGGGGUAAAGGCUCACCAAGCCAACGAUCUGUAGCUGGUCUGAGAGGACGACCAGCCACACUGGAACUGAGACACGGUCCAGACUCCUACGGGAGGCAGCAGUGGGGAAUUUUGGACAAUGGACGCAAGUCUGAUCCAGCCAUUCCGCGUGCAGGGUGAAGGCCCUCGGGUUGUAAACUGCUUUUGUACGGAACGAAAAGGUCUCUCUUAAUACGGGGGACUCAUGACGGUACCGUAAGAAUAAGCACCGGCUAACUACGUGCCAGCCGCCGCAGUAA